Neofelis nebulosa (Clouded leopard) is the source of this 505-nucleotide long non-coding RNA. RefSeq lists it as uncharacterized. The transcript is spliced from 3 exons. NCBI's taxonomy places the organism in Eukaryota, Metazoa, Chordata, Mammalia, Carnivora, Felidae. The record is from RefSeq and is a predicted model, not a curated record.
UCUUGCUGAAGAAGUUGGGAUGUGUGAGUCUAAAAAGAACGUUUUGAGCCCUCUGCUUCUCUUAGCUUAAAUCCAUAUAUGGCUUUGUUGCUGUUGCUGUUUUCAUUUUAAACAUAACCAAACAACACUGGUGCCCAGGAAAUGGACUUCCAAUGAGAGGAGGGAAAAGCCAAAAAGAUUCUUUCAGCAUAAAGAAGACCAGGCUUGUUGAAAUCAAAGAAAGGGCGCUGCCAUCCCUUCAACGGCCAAGACCACAGAUCUUGAAAUCUUCUUCAUCUCAGUGCUCCAUACUAUACCCACACUGGAGGAACGAGGGUUUGCUCAGGCUCUGCUCUCCUCAGAGGCUCAGGUGGAUUCAGCCGUGGCCUCAACUGCUUGUCCUGACCAAACCCAGAGGAUGUAGGAAAAGCCCUUCUCCACCCAGGAGUAUGGAUUUCAUGCAGACCCCUGGAGACACGGUGGUACUCAAUAAGUAUCUAUGAGUUGACUUACACUGAAUCCUAAC